UUCACUCAUGUUGGGAACUUGUCCUUAAAUGCUAUGAAUUAAGAGCAAGGCAACACAGAAAUCGUUAAACGUUAAAGUCCUUCGUCCUUCGAAGCAUUAUUUCCCUUAGGAUAUAAUGAGUUUUGGACGAAGGUUGUGAAGGACAUACCUUCAUCAGUAUAACAAAUAAUGAAAAAGGGAUUCACAUAAAGUAUGAGAAACAACAUAAAUACUUAAAUAUUAAUAUUAGCUCAUUUAUAUUUUUAUUAUUAUAGAAAUGAUAACAAAUUACAAAUGUACCUUCGGCUUGAAGGAAAGCAAAAGUACAAGCGUGACACAAAAGCGAAUGCCAAGUCAGCGUGAACAGUACGAGAGUAUUGUUCACCUAUUUAUAGGCACGGGUCGCAGCCCAUGUAAAAUUACAUCCAGGCCCUUUGCUUUUGAUAAUAACUCUAUAGUAAUUUAUCGGGGUCUAGAUAGUCUUUUCCUCUUUAAGUUGGUUUCCUCUUUUCUGCCAUCAUGCCGAAGCUUCCUUGCGCACAGCUUCGGCUCUGUUCCAUCCUUCGUUCUCCUUGUGUUUCUUCAUACAACGACUUUGACUUGUCCGAAGGGUCCAUGUCCGAAGGUAACUAUUCAUGUAUUACACUCCAGAAACAUUGUCAAAUCACGUUUUUUAGGACCUUCGGAAGCCGAAGGCCCCCAACAGUAGCCCUCGCAAUAUUAAUUUGUUAGGAUAAUAAAUUUAGAUUGCGAUAUGGACGAAGGCCCUAAGCCAAAGGUCCGAAAAAACACCUUCCUCUUGCUAGAAUAGCAACAAUCAAUGGCAAGCGGGACCCUCCCACUUGCAAUGCCCUGGGUGUAUAAAUAUGUUACUACCGCGAGCUCACUUGGCACGCCUUCUUGCCAUUUGCUUUGCCUGCUCAAACAGCUCUUUGCCCACAAAUACUUGACCAACUUUCUAGAUUUUUAGCUUCGGACCUAAGAGCACAUUUUUAGCAUUUCCGAAGGGAUGUCUCAGGAAAAGAAAGUUGUUGCCGAAAUGAAACUGAGCCUUUCUAAGGAGAAGAACCUGGGCUUUAUUGAAUCGAUAGCGAAGACAAAUACAGAGAAGAUUACUAGGAAGAUUUUAGAAGGUUUAUCUGAAGACACUGGUGAUAGUGACAGUUAUGAUGUGGAAAGUGGUGGGGAAGACUCCGAAGAUCGACCCUGGCGACCAAGUCAUGCAGUUUUUGGAAAAUCAACUAUUAAACAGAGUCAUCUUGAUAAUAUGAGGGGAAGAUAUUUUCGGGACAUGUCUAUUGUAAGGGCUGAUGACGGAGAGAGGACUGUGCCUACUCCCGAAGAGAAUGAAGUUGUGAUCUUCCGAAGCUUUUUUAAAGCUGGGCUUCAGUUUCCAUUAAGAAAAUUUGUGGUUGAGGUUUUAAAGAUUUAUCAAGUCUACCUUCAUCAAAUUACGCCCGAAGCAAUCAUAAGAAUGGGAAUCUUUGUCUGGGUCGUGAAGAGCCAGGGUUUGGAGCCGAAUGCAAAAAGUUUUUGCAAUAUACACGAGCUAGUAUAUGAGACGAAACCCUGGGGUAAAGAGCAAUAUCACAACAAUUUUGGCUGUUAUAGCUUCGGCGCUCGCUUUGGGUCAAGCUGUCCCGUGCUGACUUUUCGGAAGAGGUGGCCCGGAGACUGGAUGAAGGAAUGGUUCUAUGUGAAAAACGACUUGAAAGCACGAGAAGAUAUUAAAGAUAUUAUCAUGCGCCCUAUCUGGCAGCGCUUCGGCCUCCGAAAACCGAAGGUGGGAAUUGACAAGGCAGUCGAAGAAUGCUAGAGGGCCUUCGGCGUAGUUUGCUCUUUCAUUGGGACAAGGGAUUUAGUCCAAGAGCAUAUAGCCUUCAGAGUAUGGCCACUUGUAGAAAAGUGGGAAAUGCCAAAAGAGACUAUCACCAAGCCUGACGAAGGUGGGCUGGUUAGAAUGAAGUUCACUUUCAGAUAUGAGGGUAAAUUUGUCGAACCAAAUGAUGAGUGGCUGAAAUGUAUUGAAGCUACAAGCGAUGAAUUGCUUGGGGCAUACUCAAAGGCAGAAGAUACUACGUUAUCUGCGGCCUUCGGAGGCCGAAAGAAGAAAAGAUUCAACCGAGUUUUUGAUGCUAUUGGGUUUGUCUAUCCUGACUACCGCUACCCGUUACGGGGUCAGAAAAGAAAAGGUACAGUUUCUGUGAAGGAAGUUUUGGCCGCUCCUAGUGAGCCAACGCCGAAGAUAAAAAGGUGAAGGUUCUUACCCACCGGCCACGCUAUAUUGAGCCGGCCACAGUGCCCGAAUUUGUCGGCGAGGCUGCUUCGGCCACUGAAGCCAAAAAACCUAUACCUGCGUAGAAAGAUGAAGAGCUAUCUGCAAUAUCGAAGGCUGAAAGAAUUGAAGAGCCGAAAACUGAAGGGGCAAAAAUAUCAGAAAUUUUAAGCCCUUCAGCAGAAGUUGGAGUGCCACAAACUCAAAAAGGUCCAACUGUGACCCCCAAAAGGAAAAGGAUGGUUAAUGUUUUGGAUGUACUGAAGAUAAUAAAGUCUUCCAGCUCUACUCCUAAAAAAGUUGCCGAAGCUCAAAAAGCACAAAUUGAAACAACAUCCUCUGGAGCCGAAACUACAAAGCACCAGGCUGAAAGCGAAACUGGACCUUCAGAGACUGCCAAGGAGAAAUCCUUGGAAACCGAAGGAGAAAAUACAAAGGAAACUUUGAAGCAAAUUUUGUCUGAAAAAACUCUUUCUUCAACUCCCGAAGCAUCUUCCAAAUUGCCUGAUUAUAUUGUACGACAUGCUUCGGGCAAAAUGCUAUCUGAAGAGGAAAAGCAAGAAGCUCAUCAUUAUGCCCAGAAAUUAAAAUAUCCGAAAGGGGCGUUGAUAUUUAAUGGCAGCGGAGAAGAAGACUUCUUGUAUUGUCUCCCAGACAGCAAGGAGAUCUCUGUCUACCGGGAGAUGGCAAGAAGCUUCGGAUUCCCAACUCUAGAAGAUGGGCUCUCAGUUUUGUCAAAAGAUGAAUUGGCCGACAGCUUAGCGUACAACAGCUUAAAGGUGAGAAAAUAACCUUUUUGCGUGGCUAAAAAUUCGUGUGUUUAUUUCUUAAUACCAUAUUUCUUUUGCAGGGCCUUAUUCUUAGCAACGCCCUCAGAGCGCAGAAAAGCGCUGAAGACGAGGGAUGUACCAUAGCAUUGAAUAACCUUCGUUCCGAAGUGAUUGAGCUAAGGAAUGAAGGUCUUGAGAAAGAUAAAAUAUUAAAUUCAUUGCUUAACAAAAUAAAAGAAGACGAAGCUACUUCCAAGGCCCAAGCUGAAGCCCAGAAAUGCGAAACUGAAAAUCUUUAGAAACAGCUGGCUGAAGCGAAAUUAAAGUGUGCAACUGCCGAAGCUGACCGAGACGCCAGCAAUUACUGGAAGAAUCAUUGGGAGAAAACAACUGCAGAACUUCGGUCUUCAAAAGAAAGAUGUUAUGAAAAAUCCAUGAAAUGUGUGGAAACAAUUAAGACUAGUUUCGCCAGCGUCGGCGCAUUUUCGAGUGAAAGCAACUUCGUACUGGGAGAUCCCGAAGGUCCAAUCGACUGGAUCAACGGCGAGGCCGAAGCUUUUGAAGAAAUUUUGAGUGGCCGUGGGGACAUAUGCGCCUUCUCGGGUGCUAGGGGGAUAGCCGCUAUCUUGGAAAGGAGAGGUUGCGAACAUGUGAAAUCCUUGGCGCAGACCGAGGCUGUCUUAUGCAUUGAAGAUAUAAAAGACCCCUCAGCCGAAGCAAGCUUGGUUGGUGGAAAAUUUUUCACCGACAUCUGGGAGAAUGGCGGUCGGGAGAUGGCUCAAGAAAUUAUAAGGAAAAGUGAAAAAGGUAUUCACGAUGCUAGAGAAGUAGCAAAGGCCGCCGAGAAAAGUGUGGAUCUUGAAAGGCGAAUAGGUAUUAAUUAAUGGCUUUUGACUUUAUGUUCUAAUUUUAUAACUUCGAACUUAUUUACGGUUUGCAACACAGCCGCACUGUCUCCUCCCCCAGAGCCCGCCGAGCCAUUGGCGGACCCCAAAGCAAAGGAGGAUGAUGAAUUUAGAAAAAUGGCCGAAGCUAUUAUGGAUAAAGUUGUUGAUCAACUAUUUAACGAAGCUGCAGAAGUAGUUUUAAGAGAAGAUUAGCUGUUAUUGCAAAGACAUUUGAAAUGUAAUAUUUGCUGGACAAUGUGUGUAACAUUUUAUAAUUUUGAAUGUAAUAUAUAAGCUGUUUAUAAUUCAAAUCUUUACGAUGCAUGAAACUUUACGUACAUACCGUUUUUGAGCCUUCGGCGAAAAAAAACACCUUCCCUUCUUUUCAUGCUUCGUGAAGAAUGUCCAUAUUCCGUAAAAAUAUACAAUUCCGAAAAAAUAUUAUGCUUUGUGAACAAUGGAUCUCCUUUUCAUAUCAAAGUGAUGAAGUUGUAUUUCUUGAAAACUUAUUUUGUGCCUUGGCACUUCUUCGAAACAAUCUCCGAAGCUCAAUAUUGUAGGUCAACAUUGUUUACUUUUCCGAAGGUCAACAUUGCAUCCCCUUCUUGUGCCAUUGAGGCAAUAUGAUGUAUGAUGCUAUGCUAUGCACAUGAUGUAAUGAUGUAAUUACAUGCAAAAUGAUAUUUGCGCCGAAGGCCUACACACAUCCCCCAGUGGAGCAUACAAUCUUUUUGCCGUUUUUCGGUAUAUCAGCGUUGACUUUUCGCUGUAAGCCUCCCUUAGGAGCUUCUUCGCCUUCUAUUUCGGCAGUAUCAGCAUUUAUUUUUUGCUGUAAGCCUCCCUUAGGAGCUUCUUCGCCUUCUAUUUCGGCGGUAUCAGCGUUUAUUUUUUGCUAUAAGCUCUGCAUUCCCUUUGGAACGACUUUUGAGCAGAAAACUUACACUGCGUUCCCUUAAGAACUUUUUUGUUGCUUCGGCAAUAGCUUGCAAUGCAUUCCUUCGUGAAGACCUUUAGAACUUCGUCGACGUUUGAAGAAGAUAUAUUCAUUAUGAUAAUGACGAAGCUAUUACAAGAAAUUGAAAAUAACAAAGGAACUAAGUUUUCAAUGAUUUAUCUUUAUUGAAAAGGUAAAUGAUAACAAAUGUAAAAACUGUUUCAGAAGUAGGAUAUAUCUUAGUAGAUGUGCUUUGAUUCUGGCACAGUACUGUUGACUGUGCGAGCUUCGGACUGCUCCCUGAAAUCUCUCUGUUGAUGAUUGUGCUGGCUCCCUUCUGGCUGCUGGCCUUGGGGAUAAGCGAGUUGCAUUGGUGGUGGAGGUGGGGGCUGUUGCCAAGAUGCCUGAGGUUGGCUUGCCAAAACAACGAAAACUGCAGGAUGGUUACCCACAUACUCUGGAAUGUAUGGUGAGUGGUACGAAGCAGUAUGCAUAACCUGCUUCGGCUGGCUCUGUUGAGCUGUAGCUUCUGCUAUCUCUUUCUAUAUUUGAAUGGUGACAUGGCACAUCCUGGUAGUAUGGCCCUUGUCCUCACCACAAAAUAGGCAGUAAAUUUUUCUGGGCUGAUCCCCAAACCUUCCUCCGAAGCCCCUUGCGCCUCUGCCCCUUGGAGCUAGGGGCCGAGGAUAAUUCUGUUGCUGCCCCGAAGCCUGGGAGGAAUACUGCGGCCUUUGUUGCUGACUUCCCCUAUCGUCAGUCUGAGUAGAAUGGAUAGAUCUGACGUGCCUAGGGUGGAUUCUCCCUCCGAAGCCCCUGGUCAUUUCGGAGAACCUGUAAGCUUCCUCCCUUCUUUGCCGAAAGUCAUUAUCUGCUCGGAUGUAUUCAUCCAUCUUCUGAAGCAGUUUCUCCAGGGUCUGUGGGGGUUUCCUGGCGAAGUAUUGGGUUGUAGGUCCUGGCCGAAGCCCCUUAAUCAUGGCCUCAAUAACAAUUUCAUUAGGCACUGUUGGCGCCUGCGCCCUCAGUCGUAAGAACCUUCGGACAUACGCCUGAAGGUAUUCUUCAUGAUCCUGAGUGCACUGGAACAAAGCUUGAGCGGUGACCGGCUUCAUCUGAAACCCUUGAAAGCUAGUGAUGAGCAUGUCCUUCAGCUUUUGCCACGAUGUGAUUGUUCCUGGCCGAAGAGAAGAGUACCAGGUCUAUGCAACAUUUUGACUGCCAUGACGAAGGAUUUAGCCAUGACUGCAGUGUUGCCACCAUAUGAAGAUAUGGUUGCUUCGUAGCUCAUCAGAAAUUGCUUAGGAUCUGAGUGUCUGUCAUACAUUGGGAGCUGGGGUAGUUUAUAAGACGGGGGCCAAGGUGUAGCCUGCAGUUCUGCUGACAGAGGAGAAGCAUCAUCAAAAGCAAAAUUUCCAUGAUGGAAAUCCUCAUACUAGUCAUCCUCGUUGACGAAGCCUUCUUGGUGAAGCUCUCUGUACUGGGGCCUCCGGUUCUGCUCAUCUUGCGUAAGAUGACGAACUUCUUCAGAGGCUUCGUCUAUCUGCCUUUGAAGAUCAGCUAGCCGGGCCAUCUUUUCUUUCUUCCUUUGCACUUGUUGAUGCAGCAUCUCCAUGUUCCUGAUUUCUUGGUCCAAAUCGUCCUCCUGAGGCGUUGGACUGGUGGCCUUCCUCUUCUGACUUCGGGCUUCCCGAAGAGAAAGGGUCUCCUGGUUCGGGUCCAGCGGCUGCAGAGCGGCAACCCCUGUUGCUGAAGCUUUCUUUGGCGGCAUGACGAAGGUCGAUGCUUGCCGAAGGUGGUCAAAAAGGGUUCACCAGAGGUGGGCGCCAAUGUUGGGGACUUGUCCUUAAAUGCUAUGAAUUAAGAACAAGGCAACACAGAAAUCGUUAAAGUCCUUCGUCCUUCGAAGCAUUAUUUCCCUUAGGAUAUAAUGAGUUUCGGACGAAGGUUGUGAAGGACAUACCUUCAUCAGUAUAACAAAUAAUGAAAAAGGGAUUCACAUAAAGUAUGAGAAACAACAUAAAUACUUAAAUAUUAAUAUUAGCUCAUUUCUAUUUUUAUUAUUAUAGAAAUGAUA
RNAcentral lists this long non-coding RNA (6916 nucleotides) under Zea mays. Its description in RNAcentral is "long non-coding RNA (ZMAY_LNC003654)". Lineage: Eukaryota; Viridiplantae; Streptophyta; Magnoliopsida; Poales; Poaceae. The record is from RNAcentral.